RNAcentral lists this long non-coding RNA (227 nucleotides) under Elaeis guineensis (African oil palm). RNAcentral describes it as "long non-coding RNA (EGUI_LNC038164)". The record is from RNAcentral. Lineage: Eukaryota; Viridiplantae; Streptophyta; Magnoliopsida; Arecales; Arecaceae.
CGACUCUCCGUCGUCCACUCCCCCGACUAUCGCUAAUGAGUCCGCUAAUAGACAUCGAUCCUACCAGGAAGCUUGCCACUCUCAGCAUCUCUCUGUAAUUUAAAAAUUAAUUAAAAAAAUUUUAAAUAAUUAGAGAAUUAUAUGCUAAUUAGAAAUUAAAAAUUACCUACCAUGUGCUCCAUGUGACGAGCAAAUGAUCUUAAACCCCCACAAUGCGGCACGGUCUG